This 254-nucleotide ribosomal RNA is filed under the name uncultured bacterium. Its description in RNAcentral is "partial 16S ribosomal RNA". It matches the Rfam family "Bacterial small subunit ribosomal RNA", at positions 524 to 776 of the family's 1533-position model. The record is from RNAcentral.
UACGUAGGGGGCAAGCGUUGUCCGGAAUCAUUGGGCGUAAAGAGCGUGUAGGCGGCCUGGUAGGUCAGCUGUGAAAACUCGAGGCUCAACCUCGAGACGCCGGUUGAAACCAUCAGGCUAGAGUCCGGAAGAGGAGAGUGGAAUUCCAGGUGUAGCGGUGAAAUGACGCAGAUAUCUGGAAGAACACCCGUGGCUAAGGCGGCUCUCUAGUACGGUACUGACGCUGAGACGCGAAAGCGUGGGGAGCGAACAGG